AUGAACGCUAGCGGCAGGCUUAACACAUGCAAGUCGAGGGGCAGCAUACCCAGCAAUGGGUGAUGGCGACCGGCGGAAGGGUGCGUAACGCGUGAGCAACAUACCCUAUACAGGGGGAUAAGCCAGGGAAACUUGGUCUAAUAUCCCAUAGGAAAUAGAUAAGGCAUCUUGUUUAUUUUAAAGCUUCGGUGGUAUAGGAUUGGCUCGCGUGACAUUAGCUAGAUGGAGGGGUAACGGCCCACCAUGGCAAUGAUGUCUAGGGGUUCUGAGAGGAAGAUCCCCCACACUGGGACUGAGACACGGCCCAGACUCCUACGGGAGGCAGCAGUGAGGAAUAUUGGACAAUGGAUGGAAAUCUGAUCCAGCCAUGCCGCGUGCAGGAAGACGGCCCUAUGGGUUGUAAACUGCUUUUAUACGGGAGCAAUAAGGUCUAUGCAUAGAUUGAUGAGAGUACCGUAUGAAUAAGCAUCGGCUAACUCCGUGCCAGCAGCCGCGGUAAUACGGAGGAUGCGAGCGUUAUCCGGAUUUAUUGGGUUUAAAGGGUGCGUAGGCGGCUUUGUAAGUCAGCGGUGAAAUUUUGCAGCUUAACUGUAAAAGCGCCGUUGAUACUGUGAAGCUAGGAUUUGGUUGCUGUGGGCGGAAUGUGUGGUGUAGCGGUGAAAUGCAUAGAGAUCACACAGAAUAUCGAUUGCGAAGGCAGCUCACAAAGCCAAUAUUGACGCUGAGGCACGAAAGUGUGGGGAUCAAACAGGAUUAGAUACCCUGGUAGUCCACACUGUAAACGAUGAUAACUCGCUGUCGGCGAUAGACCGUCGGUGGCCAAGCGAAAGCGAUAAGUUAUCCACCUGGGGAGUACGACCGCAAGGUUG
This 869-nucleotide ribosomal RNA is filed under the name uncultured anaerobic bacterium. RNAcentral describes it as "bacterial SSU rRNA". It matches the Rfam family "Bacterial small subunit ribosomal RNA", at positions 29 to 896 of the family's 1533-position model. The record is from RNAcentral.